Hydra vulgaris (swiftwater hydra) is the source of this 537-nucleotide non-coding RNA. NCBI's taxonomy places the organism in Eukaryota, Metazoa, Cnidaria, Hydrozoa, Anthoathecata, Hydridae. The record is from RefSeq and is a predicted model, not a curated record.
AUAAUUAAGAAAUUUUUAAUGGCUUUUUUCGUUGUGUUUUUGAAUAUUAAUAUUUCGCCUCAAGUUCUUGAUCUCUGAAAUUUGCAUUCCUACACUUAUCUAUAAAAAUUUGUUUGCCUUAAUCAAUGUCGAUUGGCUUUUGUUAAGCAAAGGUAAUGUUUUAUCGGUUACAUUUUGAAAACUUUCGAUAAUAAAAAACACUUUAAACCAUUUGGAAACUCUUUUCUAUCAGCUGCUCGUUUCCUAAUUUGGUUAAGCAUGUUAACUCUAUCGUUUGCUUUUAAAAACGUAUUCGUUUGUCAAGAAUAUGAUGAUAUUAUUGUUUUCGUUUGAGUCACGCAAUUCAGAAGUAUUUUAAUUCAAGCCAUAAAGACCAUAACUAAAGAAAAGUUUAAAAUUUUUAUUUAUUUAUUUUUGCUUUUUCUAAAAUCUAAAUUAAUUUCAAAGUUCUUCAACAACGGUUCUCAGUGACAAGACGUGUAUUCUUUGAGUAUCCGCGUUCUUUAUCUUAAUUCUUUAUUUUUUAACGGUUUCUUU